CGGUACGUGGGGGAUAACGUAGUCGAAAGGUACGACUAAUACCGCAUACGUCCUGAGGGAGAAGCGGGGAGUCUUCGGACCUCGCGCGAUUGGAGCGGCCGAUGUCGGAUUAGCUAGUAGGUGAGGUAAAGGCUCACCUAGGCGACGAUCCGUAGCGGGUCUGAGAGGAUGAUCCGCCACACUGGGACUGAGACACGGCCCAGACUCCUACGGGAGGCAGCAGUGGGGAAUUUUGGACAAUGGGCGCAAGCCUGAUCCAGCCAUGCCGCGUGAGUGAAGAAGGCCUUCGGGUUGUAAAGCUCUUUCGGCCGGGAAGAAAUCGUGUUCUCUAACAUAGGACAUGGAUGACGGUACCGGACUAAGAAGCACCGGCUAACUACGUGCCAGCAGCCGCGGUAAUACGUAGGGUGCGAGCGUUAAUCGGAAUUACUGGGCGUAAAGCGUGCGCAGGCGGUUUUGUAAGACAGAUGUGAAAAUCCCCGGGGCUUAACCUGGGAACUGCGUUUGUGACUGCAAGGCUAGAGUACGGCAGAGGGGGGUGG
This 542-nucleotide ribosomal RNA is filed under the name uncultured bacterium. Its description in RNAcentral is "bacterial SSU rRNA". It matches the Rfam family "Bacterial small subunit ribosomal RNA", at positions 130 to 664 of the family's 1533-position model. The record is from RNAcentral.